UCCUAUCUCCCUUUUCUUACUCAAUUUUGAAUGACAAAGCCUGCAGUUAAAUACCACGGUUUGCUGGGGUUACUGCAAAACUUUAAGAAGGAUCACUAGCUCCAAAAGAAGUCAGUGAAUGUUGUGGGAGGAUAUUCUUCUGGAUGUCGAUCCUUUAAGAAAAGAAAGAAGAAUAAGAAGAACAAGAAAAGAGUGCAAAGUACUGGGGCACCCAUACCCAG
Molecule: long non-coding RNA, 221 nt
Filed under: Elaeis guineensis (African oil palm)
Lineage: Eukaryota; Viridiplantae; Streptophyta; Magnoliopsida; Arecales; Arecaceae
Description: long non-coding RNA (EGUI_LNC044531)
Source: RNAcentral